GCAUUUUGGAGGAGGGGUAGUUCUGAGUGACACAGGCUGCAGGGGUUCUUCCCUGCUUUCUCUCCUGAGAACUAAAGUGGGAAUGCCUGACCUAUGGAAAAUGUAAACCACUCAGCUCAAAUGAUCAUACACCCCUGUGCUGAGGGACUUGAAUGAAUGGGAAGAAAAAAGCUCUUCAUGAAGCUUUGAAAUGGCAAGAGGGAUCAAAUGAAUGUUUUCAUUGGCAUCAGCUAGUCCCCCUUUGUUCAGAGCAGGAGCUUUGAGUCCAGUGCCUGGAGCAUCACAAAGUCAUAGACCAGCACUUGGAGAUCACCAAGGUGAGGGAGAAUAGUGGAGAAUAUUGCCUCUUUGCAUUCCCAGACACUCUUUAAAAGAAAUAACGAACAUAAACCAUAUUUUUUUAACACAAAAAGCUGCCACCAGCUUUUUGUACUCAAAAUUCGCCCCAUUCAAAGGCUUAAGGCAGAUAAAGCCCCUCACCUGAUGGGAGUAGUUUGCACAAAUCCAAUCUUUGAAGCUAAGAAUCAUUUUGAACAAAAUUCUUGUUAGGAAAUGCAUAACAACACCACAGCUGAGUCCCUUGCAGAGUGAGAGCUGAAGUCUUUGGAUCUUUUCCUCUGCCCACCAAACCCCAUGUGAAAAGUGAGAUGAGGUUCCCACAAGCAACUCCAAUUUCAAUCCUUUUCAGACUUUAUUUCUUCUAUUCUGUGGCCUCCUGUGGUAGCAAACUAUGCAGGCUGGCUACCAGCUGUGUGAAGGCCUGAUUAUUGUACAUUUUAAAUUUACCUGCUGGCAGCUACAUUUACACUCAAGUGCCAGAAGAAUGGAAAAAAUAAUGUAAUGCAUCUCAGUUGUUACACAGAGCUGCUAUGGAGACAGGAUGAGCCUGGAAAAGAGUAUCAGAGAAGGAUCCUGCUAAAAACCAGUAUCAUGUCUCUUGGGAAGGCUCCCAGGGGAGUGUUUAAAUCUCAGUCUGGGAAUCUCUCAGUGUGGAAGUGGAGCAGGAAAGAAGCAGAUCAAUCUGCAAGGAUCAGAAAGGAAUGGUCUGACUCUCACCUGCCCCUGCCAUGCAGGAUGCAGAGGAAGAGCAGAAGGAUUGAAGGAGCAAAGAAACAGUUGGAUGUGGGUAGCUGUGGAAAAAGGAGCCUGAGAACUUUUCACCAGUUUCACUAGCUCAUGCUUCUGAGGAGUUUAGUGCUAAGCACUUUGGGUUUCACUCAAAGCCUGCUAAGUCAAUGGGAAUCACUCAGGUUUUCUCUGUGUUUUGGACUGAGUCCUUUCAAAACAAGCAGUGAAUAGAAACAUAGGCUUUCUUCUUCCCUGUGGCCAGGAUUUUCAGCAUACCUCAACUUUUAGGAUCAUGAGUGAGUUUUCCAAAACAAUUUCCCUGGGAAUGAAGAAAUGAUCACAAAUGACUGAAAUACCCAGGCUGUCCUCAGGUGGUUCCCUGGCCAAGGCAGAGAGACUCCCUGCAGCCUCACACUUUGCCUGAAGACCACGAGACAGGAGCAGACAGGCUGGCAGCCAGCACUGUGGCUCUCCAGCACAACCAGGAGCAAGCAAAGCCUCACAGGAGCCGAGCUUUGCCCACCCACUGGCAGCUGCCUGACAUUUAGGAAGUUCAAUAAAUUUCUGAGAAUCUGGACUUA
Molecule: long non-coding RNA, 1649 nt
Organism: Zonotrichia leucophrys gambelii
Lineage: Eukaryota; Metazoa; Chordata; Aves; Passeriformes; Passerellidae
Exons: 2
Source: RefSeq, a predicted model, not a curated record